This 326-nucleotide ribosomal RNA is filed under the name uncultured bacterium. RNAcentral's name for it is "bacterial SSU rRNA". It matches the Rfam family "Bacterial small subunit ribosomal RNA", at positions 469 to 793 of the family's 1533-position model. The record is from RNAcentral.
AGUACGUUACCUACAGAAGAAGCACCGGCUAACUCCGUGCCAGCAGCCGCGGUAAUACGGAGGGUGCGAGCGUUAAUCGGAAUUACUGGGCGUAAAGCGCAUGCAGGCGGCCUGUUAAGUCAGAUGUGAAAGCCCGGGGCUUAACCUCGGAAUUGCAUUUGAAACUGGCAGGCUAGAGUCUUGUAGAGGGGGGUAGGAAUUUCAGGUGUAGCGGUGAAAUGCGUAGAGAUCUGAAGGAAUACCAGUGGCGAAGGCGGCCCCCUGGACAAAGACUGACGCUCAGAUGCGAAAGCGUGGGGAGCAAACAGGAUUAGAUACCCUGGUAG